This 73-nucleotide transfer RNA is filed under the name Chloroflexota bacterium. RNAcentral's name for it is "Chloroflexi bacterium (anaerobic digester metagenome) tRNA-Arg". It matches the Rfam family "tRNA". Rfam says of the family: Transfer RNA (tRNA) molecules are approximately 80 nucleotides in length. Their secondary structure includes four short double-helical elements and three loops (D, anti-codon, and T loops). Further hydrogen bonds mediate the characteristic L-shaped molecular structure. tRNAs have two regions of fundamental functional importance: the anti-codon, which is responsible for specific mRNA codon recognition, and the 3' end, to which the tRNAs corresponding amino acid is attached (by aminoacyl-tRNA synthetases). tRNAs cope with the degeneracy of the genetic code in two manners: having more than one tRNA (with a specific anti-codon) for a particular amino acid; and 'wobble' base-pairing, i.e. permitting non-standard base-pairing at the 3rd anti-codon position. The record is from RNAcentral. Lineage: Bacteria; Bacillati; Chloroflexota.
GCCCCCGUAGCUCAAUGGACAGAGCACCUGACUUCGAAUCAGUAGGUUGAGAGUUCGAAUCUCUCCGAGGGCG